Molecule: small RNA, 324 nt
Filed under: Pan troglodytes (chimpanzee)
Lineage: Eukaryota; Metazoa; Chordata; Mammalia; Primates; Hominidae
Description: retained intron
Source: RNAcentral
GGCGGGUGAGCGAGGAGCCAGUGCUGUCCUCUUUGACAUCACUGAGGAUCGAGCUGCUGCUGAGCAGCUGCAGCAGCCGCUGGGGCUGACCUGGCCAGUGGUGUUGAUCUGGGGUAAUGACGCUGAGAAGCUGAUGGAGUUUGUGUACAAGAACCAAAAGGCCCAUGUGAGGAUUGAGCUGAAGGAGCCCCCGGCCUGGGUAAGCACACUAGACCUCCAGACCUUGCCCUGCACUUAGCCCUACUUUGUCCUGUGGCAACUCCCACCAAAAGCCCUUAGACUCCUGGAGCUGAGAGAGAUCCUGGAAACCCUCUAGUCCAACUU